CCUACGGGAGGCUGCAGUCGUGAAUUUUCGGCAAUGGACGAAAGUCUGACCGAGCGACGCCGCGUGUGGGAUGAAGGUCUUCGGAUUGUAAACCACUGUCGAGGGGAAUCAAAGGUUUGGGGGUUCUCCCCCUUAUUUGAGAGAACCCUGGAGGAAGGGGAGGCUAAGCUCGUGCCAGCAGCCGCGGUAAGACGAGCUCCCCAAACGUUAUUCGGUAUCACUGGGCUUAAAGAGUUCGUAGGCGGCGAAGUAGGUGAGGUGUGAAAGCCCUCGGCCCAACCGAGGAAUUGCGCUUCAAACCGCUUUGCUAGAGGGAGAUAGGGGUAAGCGGAACAGAUGGUGGAGCGGUGAAAUGCAUUGAUAUCAUCUGGAACACCGGUGGCGAAAGCGGCUUACUGGAUCUUUUCUGACGCUGAGGAACGAAAGCUAGGGUAGCGAACGGGAUUAGAUACCCUUGUAGUC
Molecule: ribosomal RNA, 462 nt
Filed under: uncultured bacterium
Lineage: Bacteria
Description: bacterial SSU rRNA
Rfam family: Bacterial small subunit ribosomal RNA
Source: RNAcentral